RNAcentral lists this long non-coding RNA (682 nucleotides) under Vigna radiata. Its description in RNAcentral is "long non-coding RNA (VRAD_LNC015699)". The record is from RNAcentral. Lineage: Eukaryota; Viridiplantae; Streptophyta; Magnoliopsida; Fabales; Fabaceae.
CAUCAGUAGGUGUUGAUUCUCUUUGCUUGAUAUUCUUUUCUUUUUCUUCUUCCUGCUGAAUUUCUUCAGAAAAUUGAGAACACCAAGCACUCGUUUCCAUAUAUCAAUCAUAAGAAUUUUAAUCUCCAAUUUCUUGAAGAUCUCCAUAAAGCACUUAAACUUCUUUUCCUUCCUAUGAUUUUUCUUUUGAUGAGGAAGAGGUUUUUCAUAUGAUAUUUCCUUCUUUCCCCUCUUCCUCUUUUUCUCACUCUUCUCCUCCCUCAACUUUCUCUUUUUCUCUUUUCUUAUUCUCUUCUUUAUUUUCGCAUAUUUUUUCUUUUUUUCUUUUUUCUCAACCACUGCUUUUUCUCCCUCAUCAUCUUUAUCUUCGUCACCUAACUUUUUUUGUUUCUUCUUCCUUUAAAUCUCUCUCUAUCUUUUCCUCCUUUCUCUCCAUUUUUUUCUCCUCUAUCUUUUCCUCAUCAACAACCUUAUCAAUUUGUGCCUCCAAGUUCCUGAAGGUAACUUCAUAGCUCUUGGAAUCGUACUUCUUCAAAAAUUUGUCGAAAUUUUCAUUAAGGCUCUUGACUUGUUCCGUCUAAUUAGCUACCUGAUGACAUAGUUGUUGAUCGUCCUCCCACGGUUUAUUGGUAAAGAGAGUUGUUGCUACCAUAAACAUUGCUCAACUUCCCCCAACGUUUCU